RNAcentral lists this ribosomal RNA (460 nucleotides) under uncultured bacterium. RNAcentral describes it as "partial 16S ribosomal RNA". It matches the Rfam family "Bacterial small subunit ribosomal RNA", at positions 338 to 795 of the family's 1533-position model. The record is from RNAcentral.
CCUACGGGAGGCAGCAGUGAGGAAUAUUGGUCAAUGGGCGCGAGCCUGAACCAGCCAAGUAGCGUGAAGGAUGACUGCACUGCGGAUUGUAAACUUCUUUUAUAAAGGAAUAAAGUGAGGCACGUGUGCCUUUUUGUGUGUACUUUAUGAAUAAGGAUCGGCUAACUCCGUGCCAGCAGCCGCGGUAAUACGGAGGAUCCGAGCGUUAUCCGGAUUUAUUGGGUUUAAAGGGAGCGUAGAUGGGUUGUUAAGUCAGUUGUGAAAGUUUGGGGCUCAACCGUAAAAUUGCAAUUGAUACUGGCAGCCUUGAGUACAGUUGAGGUAGGCGGAAUGCGUGGUGUAGCGGUGAAAUGCUUAGAUAUCGCGAAGAACUCCGAUUGCGAAGGCAGCUUACUAGACUGCCACUGACAUUGAUGCUCGAAAGUGUGGGUAUCAAACAGGAUUAGAUACCCUAGUAGUC